CACAGACUUAGCAACAGUACAAAAAAAAAAAAAAUUACUUUUUUUUUUAAGUAAAUUUCUACUGGUUUCACAGAAAUUGAAUGUGGGACAGGUAGAGAGAAGAAAGCUUUUGUGUCAAAACUAAAGUGAUAAUGGUUAUGGAUUCUUUGUAAUAUUGUUGCUUCCUAUGGACUGCACAAUGCUCUGUUUCACCAUCAAGUAGAUCUUAUCUCCCUUGAGUCUUUUCUGAGGUGCAGAUGUAACUUUUUAUAGGUGCCCUUUUUCCUUCAGAUUAUUACUGCAGAGGAUUGUUAUUCAGUGUGGGGCAGGAAACCUCAAUGAAAAUAUUCUUUUUGUAAUGGUUUUCUAACAAAAUGAGUAUUUUCAAAGUAAAAUUUUCAUUAGUGAUGUGGAAAGACCUGUUUGGGUUUGGUAUGUUUUUAUGAUGUAUUUUUCUGUACCUCUAGGAAUGGGAGUAGUUGCCUUCCUCUUCAUAGCAUGCUGUUAUCUUAAGACUUAUGGACAAUGCUGCGUAGAGAUGUUACUGGAUGAAACUGGAUACCUCUCAUUCUGCUGAAGACCCAUUAGAUGUAUGGAACCAAACCUAAUUACUGUGUCCUGGAAUUCAAUGUUGGCUUGUUACCUUUGUAAGUAACUCUAAGCUAGUAUUAAUGUUUAUUUCUUUGGGUUUUUUAAAACUUUUCUUCUUGGAAAAAUAUGCUUAUUACUUUCUAAUGUUUUCUGUGUGUUUUGGAAAUGUUCUUGAAAGCUCUCUAUCAGCUCUAUGGAAAAUAGGAAGGCUUAUCUUGCACAGUGAUAUAGAUCCUUCUUUUAACAUGAAACAAGGGAAUGUUUAGAAAUGAAAAUUUCUGAUCCCUUUUGCUACAGGAUAGUUGUUUUCCUUUGCUUCUAUACUUAAAACUUGCUUAAGGCUAUAAUUUGGGUAAAACUGGAUGCUAACACUGACAGGAGAGGCACAUGUUAAAAUAUAUAUUUGCAAACGAGCAAUAAAUACAGCAUGUGCACAAACAAAACCGAAACAUACUCAUGCUGUCACAGAGGAUAACUUUGACUUCAUAAAUACUUUGGUUCAUUAUAUAAUUAAGGUAUCUUUAAGACAGAAUGCCUUCCUAUGUUUUUCUUUAUAGCUUACUUUGGUAAGAUUAGAAUAAGGUGCUUGGCACAGGCUCUGGUCUUGCAUUUAGCUGGAUGGAAUGGAUUUUUAACCAAAUGCUUAUGUUUUGUAUUUUCAUAUCUAGUCUGUGGCUUAGACUUUCCUAUUUCUUCUGGUUAGCAAGCAAGUCUUAAGAAAAACUUGUUUCUUCAGCUCUGCUUUCACAGUUUCACAAAGCAGUACCAAAAUGCAUUUAUGGCUUACUUUGCUACUCCCAUCUUAUUACAUACACUGGUAGAAUGCUACAUGCUAUAGUUAUAACGUUCAUUUGCUUUUGUUUUUUCUCAUGCUCAGCUUUUUUAAGCAGUAUUACCAUUGGUCAGAGACAAAUACAGCUUCUGAAAUCACCAAUGUCAGCUUUAUUUUUGUAUGUUAAGAACAGUCAUUCCCAACCUCAGAAGAAUGUGCUUGAUUAUAAGGUCAUUUCCCACUGGUGACUGGGUGGUGGGUCUCACAUAGCUAACAGAAUUCUUAUUGUCCCUCUAUAACAAGAAUCUCCUUUUUUUUCCUCAGUAGAAAACACUUCAUCAGUGUCAUGUACAAGAACUCUUUCACCUCUUUCUGUACAUGAGUAAUAGAAUCUUUUUUUCUUUGUUUCCAAAUGACAAGGAGCAUCAUUUUACCUACUGAGUGUGGCUACUUGUGCUGGUCUUUUUAAGUCUGUGAAUUACAUCUGUGCAUUUUAGGUGCAUCUUCUAUUGCUAGGUGCCUUCUAUUUUAUGUGCAUCUUUGCUAGGGCCUUAGGUUGUUUUCUGGAAGGAACUCUUGGUUGUAGCUUUCAGUACUGUAGUUUUCUUCAUUGUACAUCAGGCCAAACACCAGUGAUACAAACAUUUAAUGUCCUUCAAUUUGCUGACUUGCAUAUACCCUUGUGGAAACAAGUGUGCUAUUGCUAACUCUCCUUAUCUUUCCAUUAGAAUUCUAAAUACGUGAUUCCAUGGCUGUCUCUAUCCCAUCCUUGUCAGUUAUUUGUUCUUGUUGCCAUAGUAUUUUGGGGCCCAAGACAGAAACCAACAUUACUUUAUCUGUACUUUGACCUAAAACAUUUUCAAGGCAGAGGCAUAAAACAUAAGUGGGGGAAGUGAAAGUAGAGGUUGGCAGAAAAUAACCAAUGCAAGGGUGACAUUUUCUAUCUUAAUGUAGUCAACAGCAGUCAGAGGACAGAGGAUUCUAGCUGCUUGGUAAUCUAUUGGCAUCAUAGUUAAAUUGAGUCCUAAAGAAGGAUUUGAGGAUUGUGUAGUGACUUUGUUUCUGGUUGAUUUGUUUUCUUUUACCCUGAGCUACCUCAUUUAUACAGACAGAAUGGAAAUAAAGGAUAAGUUAUAAGAAUUGCUCUAGAUAAACAGUUGAGGCUAGAGUGGUGAGAGCACCAAGGAAAGCACUUGUUUGGCAUUUUGACAUUCAAAUUCCUUAUGGAAAAAUAAAACCAGGUGUUCAGUUCCAUAAAUUAAGGUUAUACUUUUAUUAUGUAACUCAAAAAUAAACAAUAACAAGGCACAAAGUAUAUUUCCGGAUGGUUUUUGACCUGUGGAAGAGCUGAGUUUCCAAUCUAAAAGGUGAUAAUUUCAUAUUGGUCACUGCUGCUUUUAAAGGUGAAAGUAUGUUUUUUGAGAACAUAUUUUUUUCUAAAUAAUUUCAUGUACUCUUUAAGUGAGCCUAUAUGCAAUCUUGUUUUCCUCAUAUUUACUGUAGUUGUCCUAAUAUCAUAGAGUCAGAGAAUUCUUAGAGUUGGAAGAGACUCUGAAGUCCAUCUAGUCCAAAUCCCCUGAAAUGAACAGGGACAUCCACAGCUAGAUCAGGUUGCGUGCGGAAUAUAUAUGAUCCUAAUGCAGUUCUUAUAUCUGAAUGCUAAUGAUGUGCAGAUUGUCAACUAUAGCUAAUACUAAGAAACUAUGACACAUUUUUAGUGUGUAACAUACUGGAUUUUUCUGCUCAGGUUGAAGCAGGCUACUGUUAGGUCUGUAGCUGAUGGGGUCAGAUGGAUGUGCAUCUAGCAAGUGCGGACCCAGAACAAAUCUGCAGGAGGAAUGCCAAAGUUGCAUUUGCUUAGAGAAGGAUAUUUGAAAGAUGAUAAUGCUGGGGAAAAAUGUCCCUUCAUUAUUCAGAAGUAAUUCUUUAGGAUCUUGUCCAUGCUUGAAUUUUAGCUUACGUGCAGUGAGAGCUCAUGGUUUUUAAUUAAUAAAAAAAAAAAAAAUCACUGAAGCCCAAGCAUAAGACCAAGAUAAAGUGUUUACGUUAUUGAGGAGUGAUUGACACUGUCUUCUUGUCCUACCCUGAUUAUUCCAAUGUAGCAUUUUCUCAAGAAUAGAUGCUGAGUAAAAUUAUCCUUCUUGUCUUGAAGCAGAAGAAGAGGUGUGUGAGUCUGAGAAAGAAGAAUCAUUGUUAUAGCCAUGUCGUAAUGCAUUUCCUUAUCACCCUCUCAGCAGCAGAGGUUAUAGUGGAGCAGGAAGUCAUACCAGUGUUUUUCCAGGCUUCAUUGGUAAGAAUGCUGCUAACAUGAGAUUUCAGUAUAUAAGCAAGUUCUUUGGGAAGCCUUGUAUUUAGCUUCUUGUUAUUGAGUUUCAAAACAAAUGUGUCCUCUGAUUAUUAUCUGGCAUUGCUCAAUUGCACACUUAUCUUCUUGAGUUUAACUACAGUUGGAGAAGAGCUGAACUCUUUCCUUGAGUUCUUGUGGAUGUGGCUACUUUCUGGCUUUGGGGGUAACAUAAGGUGAUGUUUUCUCCUGGUCCCAGUUUGCGUCGCAAAAUGAGUUGUCUCUCCUGAUUAAUUGUCCAGAUAUUCACAGUAGGCUUUUAUUUCUGCCUUACGCGCUUUAGUGAGUGGCUCUUAAAAUGUCAUCAUGGUUAGCAUUUGUGUCUGAAUAGGGCAGCUAAUACCUCUGAGCUGAUUUUUCACGCUGCAUCUCAAGCAGAUGUUAUUGCAUUAGUUCUGCCAUUGCUCUGUUUUCAAGGUUAUGUUGGCAACCAUAACAUCCAGAAAUCCUAGACUAUAAAGAAUAAAGCAGUAGAAAAAAAUAAGAAAACAUACCAAUGCUUACCAAUUGAUCAGCUGAGUUUUGCCAGUGGUUUUUUCAGAGAGUAAAAAACAUUCUUGUGCAGUGUAGGUCUCUGAGAGACAGCUAAAUUCUAAGUGGGGAAUGUACCUGUAUCUGCUUAAUGUCAACAGGCACCAGUGCCUCUCAUAUUUGGCAGUUUUUAUAUAAAACCAUGUAAAGCCAAAAACAUCUAGUAGUAAAAGUUUAUAUGUAGGGUACUGUCUUUUAACUAGGAGGGGAAGAGGCCUCAGUUCAAGAAAGCAUACUUAAACAUCACCGAAACCAAUGGAAUGUAUCUGUGGGGCUAAAUGCUCAAAACCUCAAGUCAACAAAGCUAUUUUGAUCUGAUCUGGGGGGUUGUCUUGUAGAGAUUAAUGGUGAAGUACCAGUCUCCGUAUUUUGUCAGAGGAAGUUCCUUCACAAGCCUUUGGGCAAAUGCAGGCUCGAUUUGCUCUGACUUGUGUGGCCUUUCCAUGCCUGCAUUUGCCAUCCUGUUUCAUCGCUAGUUCUUACCAUAAACAGGGAAAGCUUUGAGAAUAUUUUCUGAUACAGGAGAGCUCGAUAACUUCUGCACUAGCAGAUUGCUGGCUUCAGGGGGGGCAGUAAAUGGUGUUUGGAGGUUGUGUGUACAAAUUUUGAUUUAACCUGAGGUGUUUUCUCAGGUUUUUUCGUUUUAGAAAUGCAUCCUUCCAGGUUAGUGUACAGAUCUGACAGAUUUGGAAGUGAUCAGGGUCUACUGUUAUUGCUAGGGUUCUUGGAUUCUUGCUUGUCAGCUGUUCGCCCAGCACUUUGUGCUGGUAUAUAUGGCUUCUUUGUCAUAAAUUCAGAACAAACUGGAAAUAUUGGAGAUAUUUUGCUUGACUUCAGUUGAGAGGCUUAUAUGGAGUGGGGAGGGGCAGUAGUGGUAGAAAAAUCAGGGAAACUACCUGUGAUUUUAACAGUGUCUCUUCUGUGGCUUUGAAAGUCUGAAUUUCACAGCCAGAGAAUGUAUUCCCUCCCUCUUUUUAUAAGCUACAUCUUUCUUUUUGCCUUAUUAAUUGUGGAUCUGUUCCUGCUUCUGUUUAAAGCCAGUUGCAAAAAAACAGUGACCUGAAUUUCCUAGGUACAGUGUUGUCAAAUCUGAAGAACCAGGUGAGUAGAUGACUCUCGUGUAAGAUCGUACGCCCAUGUCCAUUCUUUUGAGGUAUGGGCUAGUUCCUGCUUCUGUUGAAAUCCCUGUGUGGAUAGUGUUAGGUACUUUGUAAGGAGCUCCAAACUCUGCAGGACUGGGAUUCAUCUGAUGACUUCAGUAUUUCAGUCCAUUUUUGGAGACCUCUGUAUGUCUUCUGUUCAUGGUGUUCAAAAGUCUGCUACUAUGGACGUAGCACCUGAAGGGGUGUUUUGUCCAAAGAACCUGCGUUGAAGCGGUUGCAUUAGCAAAUGGUAAUGUACCCCAGAGUUGAGUAAAAUAACAGAGGCCACCAAGGUUUUUCUUGUUUGUGUGAUGAAAUGUUGUCAAAUGAAGUGAUUUGUUGGAGCCUUCCUUUAACCUCUGUACAGCAGUAAGCUUAGGGGAAAAUAAGAUUGCAUUAUUUUUUAAACAGCUUUAUUUGUGACCUGGCUUUGUUGCCUCUGACCCUCUUGGGCUUAAAUAGUUAAAUUAUAUUAAUGUCCAGUUUGUUUCACUGUAGGUAACACAUCAACUGAAUACUCUUGUGCAUAAUCUACUGUAUCUUUCCUCUGUUCUGUGUCAAUGUAUUAUGUGUAUUUGGAUUACAGUUCUUUUUUAUUGUAUUAAAUUAUUUUAUGUUAUAGAACAAUAUUUAAGCAAAGCAAAGAGCUAAUGAAAGUUGUUGGCGUUUUGGGAUUUUUUUUUCCUCUUUGCUUUUUUUUGGAUGUACUGUAAAUUGUAAACCAAGGAUGCCAAGCAGGCUUGGUUCAAUGGCUAAAAUUAUUGUAUUACAGUGUAAUGCUGAUCUAGGCCUUGUCUCAACACUAGAGCACACAGACUUGAAUAAAACUGUUAUAAAA
RNAcentral lists this long non-coding RNA (6197 nucleotides) under Gallus gallus (chicken). RNAcentral's name for it is "lncRNA (ENSGALG00010023547.1)". The record is from RNAcentral. Lineage: Eukaryota; Metazoa; Chordata; Aves; Galliformes; Phasianidae.